Molecule: ribosomal RNA, 253 nt
Filed under: uncultured prokaryote
Description: partial 16S ribosomal RNA
Rfam family: Bacterial small subunit ribosomal RNA
Source: RNAcentral
AACGUAGGACGCAAGCGUUAUCCGGAGUUACUGGGCGUAAAGGGCGUGUAGGCGGCGUCUCAAGUUCGUCGUGAAAGACCCCGGCUCAACCGGGGGAGGUCGAGGGAGACUGAGACGCUGGAGGACGGUAGAGGGACAGGGAAUUCCGGGUGUAGUGGUGAAAUGCGUAGAGAUCCGGAGGAACACCAGUGGCGAAGGCGCUGUCCUGGGCCGUUGCUGACGCUGAGACGCGACAGCAUGGGGAGCGAACGGG